This is a long non-coding RNA of Panicum virgatum (switchgrass), 1334 nucleotides long. RefSeq lists it as uncharacterized. The record is from RefSeq and is a predicted model, not a curated record. Lineage: Eukaryota; Viridiplantae; Streptophyta; Magnoliopsida; Poales; Poaceae. The transcript is spliced from 2 exons.
GAUAGCCACCACCAUUAGCCCUUUCUCAUCCAACAUCUCAAACCUCUUCCUCCUCGUCAAGGCCCUAUCAUAAAUAUAAAGAGAUCAGUAAAACAUUUGUUAUUCAAGGUUAUUGAAUCAAGUAGUAGAAGCUGCAAGUCACAAGCUCCUAGGGCAAGCAAAAAGCUGACAUACACAUGAAGUUAUUUUCAAUUCAACAUUACAGGAGAAAUAGCAUUUAUCCAUAUAAAAUGAGUAGUAUUUACUAAGAAUAAGCACACAGACAAAGAGAACCUAUUUUAAGACCUUUUAAAUAGGCAAUCCUUAUGUAAAUAACUAAUUAAUAUGAAAGAAUAUACACUAAUGAAGAUACAUUUUAUAUUCCACAUGCAAGUAAUAAGACUUUAGUAGUCAAAUUUACUAUUGAGAGACACAUACAAAAUUAUUUAACAAUAGAAUUCUUAUAGUUUAAUGUUACAGUGCAUGUGAAAGAACUAUAUUCAGUGUGAUAGCACAACUAAAAUUAAAUAAGGAGAAACAUGGUAACGUUUCACUAAAAAACUUAUUUUGUUGUGAGAAAAAGAUUCAAACUACAGAGCACCUGAAAAGCAAGAUGAAAAUGGCACAGCAUGAACAUGUAACUUGACCAAAACACCAGGAACAAAAGGUAUUAAGAAAAGGACUCACCGGGGCAAUGCUUAAAACAUAAUCAACAUCCACACGGCUGCCUUCUCCCAGCCAGUUAGAUCCUCUCUGAAUUGUAUGAGAAAAUGAAAACUAAUUUCACAUUUUACUUCCAUGAGACCAAGCAUAGUACCAAAUGCAUUGCAGGAGCCCUUUAGCUUAAAAGAAUUUACUGCAAGGAUACCAGAUGAGGCAAGACAGAGAGUUAUUUCACAUAGCAAUCAAAUGGCUUAAACAGAUCAGUAGUAGGAUCCAAGGUAGUUUUCGUUGCUGCCAAAUGAUCAAGAAGAUUGAAGAAUUAGAGACUCAAACUUGGAGCCGCAGCAAUCACAAGAUCUAAGAACUACUGACAUAUAACAAGCAAGCUCAUGACGACCUGUUGGCAUGCACCAUGAGGAUCCGGUCAAGCUUGCGUCGAAAUUAGAGUGAACCAUAGAACUGCAAAAAAAAGUCUGCUUGAAUAGGAAAAUAAAAUAGGUUUGGUAGAAAAGGCAACAAAGUACUUAUCGAGCAUAUUGAUUGCAAGUAAUAUUCAGAUUGUAUUAUAAUUUAUUCUCAAUGCAAAGUGGCAAACAUCACUUCAAGUUGUAAAAGUACAGAGAAUCAUAUACCUUUGCUCUUAUUCAAUAUAGCUGUACCUGGCGAUAUGGUGAACAUAUGCAUAGCAAGCA